This 497-nucleotide ribosomal RNA is filed under the name uncultured bacterium. RNAcentral's name for it is "partial 16S ribosomal RNA". It matches the Rfam family "Bacterial small subunit ribosomal RNA", at positions 28 to 507 of the family's 1533-position model. The record is from RNAcentral.
GACGAACGCUGGCGGCGUGCCUAAUACAUGCAAGUUGAGCGCUGAAGGUUGGUACUUGUCCCGACUGGAUGAGCAGCGAACGGGUGAGUAACGCGUGGGGAAUCUGCCUUUGAGCGGGGGACAACAUUUGGAAACGAAUGCUAAUACCGCAUAAAAACUUUAAACACAAGUUUUAAGUUUGAAAGAUGCAAUUGCAUCACUCAAAGAUGAUCCCGCGUUGUAUUAGCUAGUUGGUGAGGUAAAGGCUCACCAAGGCGAUGAUACAUAGCCGACCUGAGAGGGUGAUCGGCCACAUUGGGACUGAGACACGGCCCAAACUCCUACGGGAGGCAGCAGUAGGGAAUCUUCGGCAAUGGACGAAAGUCUGACCGAGCAACGCCGCGUGAGUGAAGAAGGUUUUCGGAUCGUAAAACUCUGUUGGUAGAGAAGAACGUCGGUGAGAGUGGAAAGCUCAUCAAGUGACGGUAACUACCCAGAAAGGGACGGCUAACUACGUG